AAGUAUCCCAGUGUACGAGUGGCCUUAGAUGUUAUGUGAUCAAUAUGAGUUUUCCAGGAUAGAUUGCUGGCAAUGUGAACCCCCAAGUAUCGAUAUGACGUUACACAUUCUAGUGGGAUAUUAUUUAGCGUAUAGGUGGGGCAGAUCACGUUAGUACAAGAAAUCCUCAUAGUCUUACACUUUCUAAUGUUUAAUUCCAUGCGCCACGUACGACACCACUCAUUUAUGUUAUUGAGAUCCUCCUGAAUUAGUAGAAUAUCUGAAGAAUUAGUUAUUUUACGAUACAAGACGCAGUCAUCCGCAAAUAGACAAAUGUUCGAGGAAACGUGAGUGGGCAAGUCAUUAAUAUAAAUUAGGAAUAAUAAAGGACCGAGCACAGACCCUUGCGGGACGCCGGAGUCAACUGGGGCUAAAGAACUUCUGCAAGAUUAUCGGGGCCGGGGUUGCUUUCAACAUCCCCACAAAGAAGAAGCAGCAAGGAGCAAAAAGGCAAUAGGACGGCUUCAGGGCACGGAAGCACGAUAGCGAAUGGAUCAUCUGAUCUGAAGCUACGACAAG
This 558-nucleotide long non-coding RNA is filed under the name Dermacentor andersoni. RNAcentral's name for it is "uncharacterized LOC126531167". Lineage: Eukaryota; Metazoa; Arthropoda; Arachnida; Ixodida; Ixodidae. The record is from RNAcentral.